GAUGAACGCUGGCGGCGUGCCUAAUACAUGCAAGUCGAGCGAACGGACGAGAAGCUUGCUUUUCUGAUGUUAGCGGCGGACGGGUGAGUAACACGUGGAUAACCUACCUAUAAGACUGGGAUAACUUCGGGAAACCGGAGCUAAUACCGGAUAAUAUUUUGAACCGCAUGGUUCAAAAGUGAAAGACGGUCUUGCUGUCACUUAUAGAUGGAUCCGCGCUGCAUUAGCUAGUUGGUAAGGUAACGGCUUACCAAGGCAACGAUGCAUAGCCGACCUGAGAGGGUGAUCGGCCACACUGGAACUUAGACACGGUCCAGACUCCUACGGGAGGCAGCAGUAGGGAAUCUUCCGCAGUGGUCGAAAACCUGACGGAGCAACGCCGCGUGAGUGAUGAAGGUCUUCGGAUCGUAAAACUCUGUUAUUAGGGAAAAACAUAUGUGUAAGUAACUGUGCACAUCUUGACGGUACCUAAUCAGAAAGCCACGGCUAACUACGUG
RNAcentral lists this ribosomal RNA (497 nucleotides) under uncultured bacterium. RNAcentral's name for it is "partial 16S ribosomal RNA". It matches the Rfam family "Bacterial small subunit ribosomal RNA", at positions 28 to 507 of the family's 1533-position model. The record is from RNAcentral.